Molecule: ribosomal RNA, 48 nt
Filed under: Alexandrium margalefii
Lineage: Eukaryota; Dinophyceae; Gonyaulacales; Pyrocystaceae
Description: partial Bacterial large subunit ribosomal RNA
Source: RNAcentral
CAAGACAAAGGGUUCCUGCGCAACGCUAAUCGGCGCAGGGUGAGUCGG